Gasterosteus aculeatus aculeatus (three-spined stickleback) is the source of this 330-nucleotide long non-coding RNA. The record is from Ensembl. NCBI's taxonomy places the organism in Eukaryota, Metazoa, Chordata, Actinopteri, Perciformes, Gasterosteidae.
CCAUCUAAUUUCCACCAAUGCAGCUUUAUGUUCCACGUGGUCUCUGGGGGCCUUUGGGGGCCGCGGCCCCCAGAGGAGGGAGUCCUGCACUCUGCAGAGACAGAAAGUCAUUUUUUCAGAAUGCCACAAAACACUCACACACACACACACACACACACACACACACACUCGCUGUGCGACCCCCAUCGGUGGAACGUGUGUGGUCAGUGGGCCCAAAAGAACCCGGUCACGUUCCUGCAAGAGGCAGUAAAACAUUAUAUAUACACAUAUAUGCACAUAUAUAUAUAUACACACACAUGUGCACGUGUGCGUGUUGAAGCCUCCUGAGGU